Molecule: RNA transcript, 17998 nt
Organism: Anolis carolinensis (green anole)
Lineage: Eukaryota; Metazoa; Chordata; Lepidosauria; Squamata; Anolidae
Gene: igsf9b
Gene name: immunoglobulin superfamily member 9B
Exons: 20
Source: RefSeq, a predicted model, not a curated record
GCCCGCGGAGGCUCAAAUGGGCCAGGCUAGGCUGCGCGGCCGGAGAGCGGGGCUUCGGGACUGACGUCUCCGGUCUCGUCUGCUGCUCCUGCUGCUGCUCCUCCUCCGGCUCCGGCUCGGGGCUCGUGCUUCUCCUCUUCUCCCGGCGAAGAAGAGGAGGGCCCCGGCUGGGCGGCAGGGGCAGCGGCGAGGGUCCUGCUGCUGCUUCUGCUGCUGGAUGCCCGGCCCGGGGAUGGAGCCGGCGCCGGCGCGGCAGGAGGGAGGGCGGCUGCGGAGGGCAUGAGAAGGAGGAAGCGCCGAGGCGGAGGCAGGCAGAGGGCGAGGCGGGCGAGGCAGGCAGGGCGGGCGCAGCUCCGCAGCUAGGAUGAGGCUCUUGUCCGCCGGGCGGUAGUACUAUGAUUUGGUAUGUGGCCACUUUGAUUGCAAGUGUGAUCAUCAGCAGCGCCCGAGGACUGGCAGCCGCUCAAGGUGCCCACGGCUUAAGGGAGGAACCCGAGUUUGUGACGGCUCGUGCUGGGGAGAGUGUGAUUCUAGGAUGCGACGUGAUCCAUCCGCUUACAGGCCAGCCCCCUCCUUACGUGGUGGAGUGGUUCAAGUUUGGAGUGCCUAUACCCAUCUUCAUCAAAUUUGGGUUCUACCCUCCCCAUGUGGACCCAGAAUAUGCCGGCCGUGCCAAUCUUCAUGACAAGGCAUCUCUGCGCAUUGAGCAGGUUCGCUCUGAGGACCAGGGCUGGUAUGAGUGCAAAGUGCUUAUGCUGGAUCAGCAGUACGACACGUUCCACAACGGCAGCUGGGUGCAUCUCACUGUCAACGCUCCUCCCACCUUCACAGAGACUCCCCCCCAAUACGUAGAGGCGAAAGAAGGCAGCAGCAUCACCCUGACUUGCAUGGCGUUUGGGAACCCAAAACCAACUGUGACCUGGCUAAAAGAAGGGGACUACUUGAAUGACAAUAAGAAAUAUCAGGUUAGUGAUGGGAGUCUGACCGUUACUUCUAUCAGUCGGAAUGACCGUGGCGCUUACACCUGCCGAGCGUACAGUAUCCAGGGAGAGGCCAUGCACACUACCCGCUUGCUUGUCCAAGGGCCACCUUUUAUUGUUUCCCCUCCGGAGAACACCACCGUUAACAUCUCCCAAGAUGCCAUGUUCACCUGCCAGGCCGAGGCAUAUCCAGGCAACCUGACCUACACUUGGUACUGGGAAGAAGAGAAUGUCUACUUUAAGAAUGACCUAAAGCUGAGGGUCCGGAUCCUGAUUGAUGGGACUCUGAUCAUCUUCCGAGUCAAGCCUGAAGAUGCUGGCAAAUACACAUGCAUUCCAAGCAACAGUCUCGGCCGCUCGCCUUCAGCCUCUGCCUACCUGACAGUGCAAUAUCCUGCUCGGGUGGUAAACAUGCCACCUAUCAUAUAUGUUCCUGUUGGGAUACAUGGAUACAUCCGCUGCCCGGUUGAGGCCGAACCUCCAGUUACUCUGGUGAAAUGGAACAAAGAUGGACGCCCUUUGCACAUUGAAAAGUUUUCUGGCUGGAAUUUGAUGGAUGAUGGCUCAAUUCGAAUAGAAGAGGCAACCGAAGAAGCUCUUGGCACAUACACCUGCGUGCCUUAUAAUGCCCUGGGUACGAUGGGCCAGUCCGCCCCUGCUCGACUGGUGCUGAAGGACCCACCCUAUUUCACGGUGCUACCAGGCUGGGAGUACAGACAAGAGGCAGGGAGGGAGCUGCUGAUACCUUGUGCCGCUUCAGGAGACCCCUUUCCUGUCAUCACCUGGAGAAAGGUAGGGAAGCCCAGUAGAAGCAAGCACAACACUCUUCCAAGCGGCAGCCUCCAGUUCCGAUCCCUGAGCAAGGAUGACCACGGAGAAUGGGAAUGUGUCGCUACCAACAUCGUCACAAGCAUAACUGCUAGCACUCAUCUGACAGUCAUCGGCACAAGCCCUCACGCCCCGAGCAAUGUGCGCAUCUCCGUCUCCAUGAACUCUGCCAACGUUUCCUGGGAGCCGGGCUAUGACGGCGGAUAUGAACAGACAUUCUCAGUUUGGUACGGCCCUCUGAUGAAGCGGGCACAAUUUGGACCUCACGACUGGCUCUCUCUUCCUGCACCAGCUGGUCCCAGCUGGAUGAUCAUGGAGAAUCUAGAACCAGAGACUGCCUACCAGUUCAGUGUCUUGGCCCAAAACAAGCUGGGCACAAGUUCCUUCAGUGAGGUGGUCACUGUGAACACUUUAGCAUUCCCUGUCACAACUCCAGAACCCCUGGUGCUGGUUACUCCACCAAGGUGCCUAACUGCCAAUCGGACACAGCAAGGAGUCCUGUUGUCAUGGCUUCCUCCAGCCAAUCACAGCUUUCCAAUUGACCGCUAUGUCAUGGAAUUUCGAAUAGGAGAACGAUGGGAGAUUUUAGAUGAUGCCAUCUUGGGAAGCGACAGUGAAUUUUUUGCCAAGGAUUUGACUCAGGACACAUGGUAUGAAUUCCGAGUUCUGGCUGUCAUGCAAGACCUCAUUAGUGAACCCAGCAACAUUGCCGGUGUAUCCAGCACAGACAUAUUUCCACAGCCAGACUUGAUAGAUGAAGGUUUGGCCCGGCCUGUGCUGGCAGGGAUCGUUGCCACCAUUUGCUUUCUUGCCGCUGCUAUUCUAUUCAGCACUCUAGCUGCCUGCUUUGUUAACAAGCAACGCAAAAGGAAACUCAAGCGCAAAAAAGACCCUCCUCUUUCAAUAACCCACUGCCGGAAAAGUCUGGAGUCUCCGUUGUCCUCUGGUAAAGUAAGUCCUGAGAGCAUCCGCACACUUCGGCCCCCUUCGGAGUCCUCUGAUGACCAAGGUCCUCCUGGAAAGAGGAUGCUGAGCCCCAGCAAGGAGAAAGAGCUAUCUCUGUAUAAGAAGACCAAGCGAGCCAUCAGUAGCAAGAAAUACAGUGUUUCCAAGGCUGAGGCAGAAGCGGAGGCAACCACCCCCAUUGAACUGAUCAGCCGUGGGCCAGAUGGACGCUUUGUCAUGGACCCUUCAGAGAUGGAGCCCUCGCUUAAGACCCGGAGGAUAGAGGGGUUCCCCUUUGUGGAGGAGACGGACAUGUACCCAGAGUUCCGUCAGUCAGAUGAAGAAAACGAUGAUCCCAUCAUGCCUGCCUCUGUGACAGCCCUCAAAUCCCAACUGACACCACUUUCCUCCAGCCAGGAGUCUUACCUUCAGCCACCAGCAUACAGUCCCAGAUUCCAUCGGGGCUUGGAGGGGGCAAGCACUUUGGAGAGCCGCCUCCAAGCCACUGGUCAGGCGAGACCUCCAGCCCCCCGGCCAUUCCACCACGGCCCAUAUUAUGGUUACCUCAGCAGCAGCAGCCCGGGGGAAAUGGACCCGCCACCUUUCUACAUGCCAGAGGUCAGCCCUCUCAGUUCAGUCAUGUCCUCUCCUCCUCUGCACCCCGAGGGGCCAUUUGGCCACCCCACCAUCCCUGAGGAGAAUGGAGAGAAUGCUUCCAACAGCACACUGCCCCUGACCCAGACUCCAACGGGGGGCCGAUCCCCUGAACCAUGGGGCAGAGCUGAGUUCCCUUUCAGUGGCCUGGAGUCUUCGCCUAUCAUGUUUCCUCACCAACUCCAUCAGUGUGAAAUGGCUGAGAGUGUGCAGCCAAAGGCCAGUCUUCCCAGGGGACCGCCACCUUCCUCCCUCCAGGUCCCCGCAGCCUACUCUGGCAUGCUGGCCCUGGAGGCACCAAAGAGUUGGACUGGCAAGUCACCGAGCAGGAGCCAAGCUUCCAUGCCCACCGCCACCAAAUGGCAGGACAAACCUAUGCAAUCAAUGGCGAGUCAAGGGCAGUUACGACACACCAGUCAAGGCAUGGGCAUACCUGUGUUGCCUUACCACGGGCCGUCCGAGUCAGUCAGCCACAGUGGCACAAGCACAUUCGGCUUGGACACCAGGUGGUACGACCCCCAACCUAGACCUCGGCCCAGCCCUCGGCAAAUCAGGAGGGCUGAGCCCAGUUUACAUCAGGUGGUGCUACAACCUUCAAGGCUUUCCCCCCUGACUCAAAGUCCCCUCAGCUCCCGCACUAGCUCCCCAGAGCUGACAGCUCGUGCCAGACCACGACCGGGCUUCAUCCAGCAAGCAGAGAUGUCAGAAAUCACCCUUCAGCCUCCGGCAGCAGUCAGCUUCUCCCGCAAGUCCACUCCGUCCACGGGAUCUCCUGCCCAGAGUAGCCGGGGAGGAAGUCCUAGUUUCAGACCUCCCAUGGCCUUCACUUCGUUGGCCACUAGCUACCCCCCAUCUCAGUGUCCUUCCCUGCCUGUGGAACCCAUGGAUGUCUUUGGACACAUUUCCUCACCAAGGAGAACCGGGGAGGAGAUUCUUAGACCAGAGCCAACGCCGACAACCAGUUCGGGCUAUCUGGGCAGUGUUGUCGAGACAAGCCACUCCUCAGCUCAAUAGGUAAGGGUGAUCAAUGUCUGAAAGGAAUGGUGCUGGGCUUGUGGGAUGUGGUGGGGGAGAGGGGCAUGGGAAGGGAUGCCAGGGGGGCUUUUUCAAUAACAUUUUUUUCCUUUAAAGGGGAAUAAGGAGUAGGAAAAUCCAGGAAAAUCCUUUGCACACUUAAGUCUCUGUGGCUUUUGGGUUUCCCUGUUCUGCUGUGCACACUGCACUACAGAAAGCCCUUUUCUGUAGAUAAAUAAUUGAAAAUGCUUGUCAUGGUUCUAAGUACAGUCCACCCUUCACAUUUCUGAGUUUCACUUUUAGAGAUCUGAUUAUUCACAGGUUUAUAUUUGUGCUGUUACGCCUGGGGCUAUAACUCUUAGUGAAAGAGGCAUGGACGUGACAUCUUUCCCCAGGGGAUUGCUUCUUGCCCUCUUUUAGGGAAACUGGAACUCCCAAGGACCAAAACACUGUAGAUAACUCAAAACUGAUUUUAUUGUUCACAAAAGGUUAUCUCAAUAAGCUGGAAGUUUCAAAGGGGUAAAGGAAAAUAUACAUUACAGUCUUUGGAUGUUUUAAGUCCAAGGAGCUCUGUAGCUGAGAAGCUUUUCCAGGUCACUCUUUCUCAAUGACUGUGAAUGCCGGAGCAAACUCAGCCUCAGUCCAAAUGGCCUAUGUUUGAAGACACAGUCUUCCUCUGUUGCCAAAGGACUGAUUUGAAGGUGCUUGAGACUCCUCAGCGUCGUUCAGGUUGGCCCUGAAUAUGAAGCGUAAGUCUCAAGGGUAAGAACCUCAGAAUUGGUGCUGAGAGGUAACUUAAUCAAGGGCUUUUAGAGCCAAGUCUCUCUCACACAUCCAUCUGGUAGAAAGCUUGAUGGUGGAAUGAAAAAAGGAAACACUGUCCUACUCCAGGAAGAGGUGGAGCCAAAUAAUUGAGCUGAGCAAGCAAUAUAACUGGUGCAAACAACAUUGAUUGACAGAUAUAAAUAACCAAUCCAACUACAUUUACAGGGUAAGGGCAAAAUCAGGCAUGAUACAACAAUUCAAAUCUUGCAACUUACAGUUUGACAUAUAGAUGGCGCCACUCGUGCCGUCACAAUAUUCUCUCUAGCAGUCACUGGGUCUUCCGGAUGACUUGAUGGUUGACAUCCAUCAGAAGUUGACCAUACCACUGCAUUGGAUCACCUAAAGAUUCCAAUAGAGCAGGGGUUCUCAAAGUGUGCUCCGGGGAGCUCUUGUGGCUUUGUGAAGCAUACUGAGGGGCUCCACAGUUCCCUCCUCCUCCCCCCUUGAAGCUUUCCCUCCUCUUUCCUGCUCCCCACCUCCCUUGCCACCAAAAGCCAUUUUCCUCACCUCCCUCAACCCCAAAAGCCUUUUCCCCUCACCUUCCUUGCUUCCAAAACCCUAUUUCCCUCCCACCACUCAGGGGGUGCUUUGAUUGUGCUUUUUCUGCAUGGCAGAAGGGAGUUGAACUGGAUGGCCCCUGGAAUUUUUGCUAUUAUUAUUAUUAUUAUUAUUAUUAUUAUUAUUAUUAUUAUUAUUAAUUUUAUUAUGACACAGCAAACAAGAUAGAUAUGCUGGAUUUCAUAUCACAAAAUCACAAGUCGAACACUUCCCAAGUGUCUAGGACUGUGUGAUGUAUUUUCGGAUGAUGCGCGCAUAUCCCAGCAGGGUGGCCUUUUGCAGUUGUUGUUGUUGUUAUUAUUAUUAUUAUUUGUAUUAUUAUUAUUAUUAAGGCUUGGUGGCCAUCUAUUGGGGGUGCUUUGAUUGUGCUUUUCCUGCAUGGCAGAAGAGGGUUGGACUGGAUCACCCCUGGGGUUGCUUCUAUUCUAUUCUAUUGCUGUAAUUAUUUGAUACACAACAAGAUCAGUACACAGCAAACAAAUCACUAUGCUGGCUGUUAUCUUGGAUCACACAUCGAACACAUCCCAAGUGUCUAGGACUGUGUGAUGUAUGGGCUAUUAUUAUUAUUAUUAUUAUUAUUAUUAUUAUUAUUAUUAUUAUUAUUAUUAUUUUAUGACACAGCAAACAAGAUAGAUAUGCUGGAUUUCGUAUCAAAAAAUCACAAGUCGAACACUUCCCAAGUGUCUAGGACUGUGUGAUGUAUUUUCGGAUGAUGCGCGCAGAUCCCAGCAGGGUGGCCUUUUGCAGUUGGCAGAUCGUAAUUUUGUCAAUGUCUAUUGUUUCCAAAUGCUGGCUGAGAUCUUUUGGCACGGCACCCAAUGUGCCGAUCACCACUGGGACCACAUGUACUGGUUUCUGCCAGAGUCUUUGAAGUUCAAUCUUGAGGUCCUGAUAGCGGCUGAGUUUUUCCUGUUGUUGUUGUUGUUGUUGUUGUUGUUAUUAUUAUUACAAAGGCUGAGUGGCUUGGGGUGCUUUGAUUGUGUUUUUCCUGCAUGCUAUAAUAUAUACACAUAUCUUGGGGCUCCACGAGAAACUUUUGCUUCAAAAAGGACUCCUCAGCUGAAAAGGUUUGAGAACCCCUGCUAUAGAGAAUACUUCUAUAGGAUUCUCUAAGUCCUCCAGUAUGAUUCUGCAAUCAUCCUUCAGAGGAAAUAAAUCAUAGAGACACCCUGGAGAACCUAACAGUUCUUAGAGAGGUGUUCUCUCUGGUAAAAGAAUGGGGGUUUUGGGGCAUUUUUCCAGUUUUGUGCCCUUAACCCUCACAAUAGUGGAAGGCCUACCAUACUGCUAAGGCAAGAAUGCUAGGUCAAAGAUGUCUGUUACUUAUGUGGAGGGGGGAAUGGUAUAGCUGAAUAGUAUGAGUUUCUGAUUUCUGAUGCUAAUUUAUUAUAAGCUAACUAACUUUUAUCGUUCACUGUAGUUAGAGUGGUUUGCAGUAAAAACAUUAGUUGAUUGGAAUUAGCAAAUGGGACAUGGUGGGUCCUGUUUGGGUACCAAUUAUUGUAUAAUAUUUACAUAAUAAUUUAGUGAAAUUACUGCUAAUGGAGGAAGUUCACAAAUCACAGUUAGUUCCAGGAUACUUGAACAAGUGUGAAUAUCACCGUCUUAUGAAGUGGAAGGGCCAUAGAUGGGACAUUUUUGGGUUGAAAACAGUCAAUUUUUGUCCCAGAUUUGAAGACUGAUUUCUCUUGUAGACAAUUGUUUUUGAGAUAUUUUUAGUGUAAGCACUAACCUCACAAAGCUGGAAGGACCAGAAAGGCUGUUAUUCCAUUUCCCUACCAUGGUGGAAUGUAGAACUAAAGCACUUCUGAAGAAGCUCAAAUUAUGUAGGGCUUUAAAGGUCAAAACCAACACUUUGUAUUUUACCCAGAAACUAACUGGCAACCAGUAGAGUGACUUUAGGAUAGGUAUAAUAUACUCACCUCUGGAUGUUCCAGUAACCAAUCUGGCUGCCGUAUUUUGAACCAAGUGGAGUUUUCAAACUUGGUUCAAAGGUAGCCCAAUAUAAAGCACAUUGCAGAAGUCCAACCUUGAGGUUUCCUGUGCAUGCAUUGCCAUCUUUAGGUCCUCCAAAAUUAGGAAGGGUUGUAGCUGCCAUAUCAACCAAUGCUGAUAAUAAGCACUCCUGAACAUCACAUCUACUUGGUUGACAUUUGGAGAGACAGAUCCAGAAGUCUCCCAAGCUAUGGACACAGUAUUUCAAGGAGAGUGUAACCCCAUCCAGGACUGGUUGUCAUCCCUCCAUUCCCAGAUUAAGACCCUUGAUGGCAAGCACCUCUGUUUUGUCUGAAUUUAGUUUCAAUUUGUUUUUCCUAACCCAGUCCAUUACCUCCUCCAGGCAUUCAUUCAGAGGAUACACACUAUCCUUAGCUGAGGAUAUUUUUGAAGGCAUGGAGAAAUAUAUUUGGGUAUAGUUAGCAUUCUUAUAACACCCGGCUCCAUGCGUAUGGAUGAUCUCCCCCAGCAGUCAUUACAAAAAUAGUAAUAUGUAGUGAAAGUGAUGAAGUAGAUAUCCUGAAGCCAAUGAGUAUCUAAAUGUGUGAUACAGGGACUAAGACUGAUGCAAAGUUAAUGAAUAUCGAAUUAAAGUACAACUGCCAUAUCUGCAGGGGAUACAUUCCUGGAUCUGUCCCUAAAGGGGCCGGGCUGUGACGCAGGCUGGUGGGCAGCUGCUGUAAUAAAUCACUCUGACCAUGAGGUCAUGAGUUCGAGGCCAGCCCGUGGCGGGGUGAGCACCCGUCAAUUAAAAAAAAUAAAUAUAGCCCCUGCUUGUUGCUGAUCUAGCAACCCGAAAGAUAGUUGCAUCUAUCAAGUAGGAAAUAAGGUACCACUUAUAAAAGUGGGGAAGCAAGUUUAACUAAUUUACAACGUUGGAAUAAGGAAGUGAGAAAGUGCCGUCAGAAUGGAUGAUGAAGCAGCUGCUCCCCCCGUGGCCAAAAUCGAACAUCCCCUCAGGAGAAGGUUAAAUUGCCUCUGCAUCUGUCUGUCUGUCUGUCUCUGUCUCGGUUCAAUGUGUUUAUGGGCAUUGAAUGUUUGCCCUAUAUGUAUAUAAUGUGAUCUGCCCUGAGUCCCCUUCAAGGUGAGAAGGGCGGAAUAUAAAUACUGUAAAUAAAUAAAUAAAUAAAAAUUCUCAUCCUUGACGUGGGACAUCUUCAAUGUCCUUUCUAUUGCCAGGAAAAGGAUGUCACGCCUUAUGAAAAUCCUCCCCCAAGUCUCCUGUAUCCAGGAGAAAAUCUUGGCAGGUUUGAUGUCUCUGGUCCCACAAUUUUUCUGUGUCCAGGGCUGGUCAUUUGGCAAAAUUACCAAUUUACCAUCAGAUUGGACUUCAUCCUCACAGAAGCAGAGAGGCCUACCACCAUAGAAAAGCAGAUUUGUGGACAACUAAAAAGGUGAAUGAGUGCAUCCUAAAGCAAAUCAGCCUGAAUUUUCACUAGAUGCCAGUAUGAUUAAACAGAGACUUUGUACUUACAAUGAGAUGACAUGAUAAUGAAUGGUGAAGUGGAAGAGCAUAAGAAGAGAGGGAGACUAAUAAUUAUAAUAAUCAUUCACUAAUAAUGAAUUGAUUCAAUCCAGAAAGACAUGGCCCUCAUUUUGCAAGACCUGAGGAGGGUAGUUAAUGACUGGGACUAUUGGAAGUCUCUCAUUCAUAGACAUCAAACUUGACUUGAUGACAAAUAACAACGAAGAGUAAUCAAAUUACAAAAUAUUAUAUGGAAUAAAAUUAAACAUACUGUUGGCUCUAAACAUCAAAACGUUUAAAGGGCAUUGAUAAAAAAAUUAAUGGGCAUAAAGGCAGUAAAUAGGAGACAAUAAUGAGAAAUAAUGGAUAGGAGGAAUAGUAGGUACAAUAGUAGGCAUCUGAUUUCCUCUUUUGGAGUAAUGUGAAUUUGCACAUAUUACGAAUUCCAUUAACUACCCAAAAGAUAAAUUCUUCCGCAAUUGGGCAAAGCAAAAAAGAGCAAAAAAAACGUAACAGUUAAUUCCUCUCCGCAAGCUAACUUGACCUUCUCUUACAUAGUAAAGAUAUUUCUGACUAUAUACUUCCAUAUCAAGAAGUAAAACUUUUUGUUUGUCUAAACAAAUAGAACAUUUUAAAAACAAAAUCCAUGUUUUCUACAUAUUUAGAUACCCAGUGGCUUUGCUUUAUCAGAUUCAUCAUUUUUACUAUAUACAGUAGUCAUGUUUUUGUAAUUGUGUUGCAGUUGUGCACUCUUCUAGCAUGUUGCUUCGGCUCAUUUCUGCUUGUUUUCAUUUUGUGCAAAAAGGGAAAAGAAUCCCAGUUCCAUCUUCGAAAUUGAAUCAUAGAGUUGGAAGAGACCAUAAACGUUAUCCAGUCCAACUCCUUCCCAUCUCAUUCUUGUUGAGUUAGGAAGAAAUAGUUAUGCCAUAUCUAAAACUCUCCCAAUCCUGGCACAUAGUGACUAUACUUACACAAAGUUAUGCCAGGUACAAAGUAGUCUGAAGUAAUGUCCAACACCACUAACCUGGAUGAGGUUCAGAUUCAGCACAACACCCGCAGAUCGGGUGUCAUUUUAGCUGGCACUGAGCAAUCUUGAUGAGUUUGGAAUAAUUCUGGAGCAAGUAUAUAUCCAUUCAAAGGACUAAAGCACAGAUUUUCUUAAAUAUAGUUAGCAUGUAAACACAUACUUUAAAAAAAUCAACCUCCAAGUAGCCUGGGGUGGAUUGAGGUCACAAUGAAGCUAAUGGGACCUCCAUGUGAUACCUCUAUGUCACAUCUAAUGAAAGGUUUGCCUUCAAUAUAUCAACUGAUAUUUGCUCCAAAAAUUAUGCAAUUCCCCCACACCCCUGUGCCUGCAAUUCCUUUUAUUCAUUGCGCCCAUAGAAAUACCGUGUUUUCCCGAAAAUAAGACAGUGUCUUAUAUUAUCUUUUGCUCCCAAAGAUGUUCUAGGUCUUAUUUUCAGGGGAUGUCUUAUUUUUCCAUGAAGAAGAAUUCACAUUUAUUAUUGAACAAAAAAAAUGAACAUUUAUUAUAUACUGUACAGUGGUUUUCAUCACAAACCAACAUAACCAAACCAGACAAACUGUGACUCCUGUCAAGAAUUUCUUAUUACAGUAGAGUCUCGCUUAUCCAAGCUUCACUUAUCCAAGCUUCUGGAUUAUCCAACCCAUUUUUGUGGACAAUGUUUUCAAUAUAUCGUGAUAUUUUGGUGCUAAAUUCGUAAAUACAGUAAUUACAACAUAACAUUACUGCGUAUUGAAUUACUUUACUGUCAAAUUUGUUGUAUAACAUGAUGUUUUGGUGCUUAAUUUGUAAAAUCAUAACCUAAUUUGAUGUUUAAUAGGCUUUUCCUUAAUCCCUCCUUAUUAUCCAAGAUAUUCACUUAUCCAAGCUUCUGCCGGCUCAUUUAGCUUGGAUAAGUGAGACUCUACUGUAUUACUAUUAUUUCCAUGUACAACUUGUAUGUACAUUUACCGAUUCUGCAUGCUCUGGUGUUUUGUUUGGCGGGCGCCGGGCAUGCUUCCAAACAAAAACUUUGCUAGGUCCUACUUUCGGGGGAGGCCUUAUAUUUAGCAAUUCAGCAAAACCUCUGCUAGGUCCUAUUUUUGGGGGAUGUCUUAUUUUCGGGGAAACAGGGUACGUGUUAUUGAAACCAUUUGCACAUUUAAUAUAGAUCUGUUAUUGAAACCAUUAAUGUAAGAAGCAUGGCAGUCCUUCAUAACUUAUAAGUAUGACCCAUGGAUUGAAUUCCUUGUAUGGCAGCUUGGCAAGAACUUGUCUUAAGGUCUUGUUCUUGCAGUUUUUCUAGCUAUUGACUUAUUGAACCCUUAGUAGGCUUCCAUAAAUGGCUUCUUAGCAAACUUUUUCUCCAAAGGGCUGAAUGCUGGGCAUGUCUUGAUUUAUAACAUGUAGUUUGAUCUACUAGGAUGCCCUCUUUAAACAAGCAGGGGCUGGGUCAUUUUACCAUAAAUGAAAGCUGGAGAGAUGAAAAAUGACUGUAAGUGUUGGGAUUUUUUGGCUGUUUUGUAAGACCAAAGCCAAGUGACUGCUGUAUGAUAUGAGGUUGUAAAGUUGUCAGUGAGUGAAAGGUUGUGGCAACUUUAUGAAAAGGCCAGUGAGACCAGCUCCCUGUUUUUAUGGUGCUGUAAAACUGAUGGGAAACAUGGUUUAUGAGAUGUGUAUAAAAGCCUCCAACCAACAUGACAGAAGUAUUAUUGUGAGCGCAAGAGCUUCUCUCUCUUCUGAGAGGAAUGCAAACAAAUGUGGACAAACAUCUGGAACAUUGCCUGUAACGUCUCUAGAUGAUUAUCUUUAUGAAAUGUAAAAUGUAAAUGCAAUCAAAUAACCAUUCUGUUAUUCCUAGAACUGGGGGAAGCUUUUCAAUAAUUGAUCAUGGAGGUUAAUCUCUAAGCCCAUUAAGUAUCAGGACCUGAAUAAUUUAUAUCAGGUCUUCCCAGCUCACAGCCCACUGGGCCUAGUACUACUCAUCAAGGGAGCUAGCUAUAUCUGUCUGACGGGGAGAUUUUUGUGGAUUGUAGGAUAGGAAAGAACAGAACAUAGACAUCUGCUUUCUGCAAAGUCAGAUUAUGUUACUACGGUAUCUAGUAAGGUUAUUAUUUCCAGACUGGAAAUAACUCUAUCUCCAGAAAAGACAUUUGUCCCCUGGGACCGUACCUUCUGAGUGCAAAACAUGAUGUCUGUCAUUGAGCUAAACAGGCAUGCCUCACUUAAUAAAGCUUCUGACAAAGAAGUUUCUUUUGGCUGACCCUAUUUUUUUUUGUUCUUGUCUACUGUCUGGCUAGAAGCAGUGAGAAAUACAUAGUAGGCCCUUGGUAUCUACUUGAGUUUGGUUUCAGGAAUCCCCAUGGAUACCCAAAAUCUGUGGAUACUUAUGGCAAUUAUAUACAAUGGUACAGUCAAGUGCAAUCCAUAUAUAAAAUGGCAAAAUCAAGGUUUGCUUUAUGGGUUGUUUUUUUUUUGUAAUUCCAAGCCAUUGAUGAUAGAGUCCUUGGAUCAGGGGUCCCCAAACUACGGCCACGUGUGGCCCAUCGAAGCCAUUUAUCCGGCCCCCGUGGCGGAAGCUCCCUUCUCCGCUGAUCCAAAGCAGAGGUCCUGAAACUUUUUAAGUCAAGUGCCAGUUCACGGUCCGACCCUCAGACUUUUGGGGGGCUGGACUUUAGCCAUGUAUAAAUAUGUGACGGGAAGUCAUAGUGAGGAAGGAGCAAACUUGUUUUCUGCUGCUCUGGAGACUAGAAUGUGGAACAAUGGCUUCAAAGUACAGGAAAGGAGAUUCCACCUGAACAUUAGGAAGAACUUUCUGUGAGAGAUGUUCAGCAGUGGAAAUCUCUGCCCCAGAGUGUGGUGGAGGCUCCUUUUUUGGAAGCUUUUAAUCAGAGGCUGGAUGACCAUUUGUCAGGGGUGCUUUGAAUGUGAAUUUCCUGCUUUUUGGACUGGAUGGUACAUGCCUUGGUUACAUCCCGGUUGGACUACUGUAAUGCACACUACAUGGAGUUACCUUUGAAAAGUGCUCAGAAACUUCAGUUGGUCUAAAGAGCAGCAGGCUGCUAACUGGGGCUGGCUAGAAGGAGUGGCCAACUCUGCUGUUGCAAGAGCUCCACUGGCUAUUGUGAGUUUUAAAAGGCUAUUUUAAGUGUAUAUGUUAUAUUUUAAUUUGUACCAUUUAAUUGUGUGUUUUUUUAACUUUUGUAUUGCGCGUUUUAAAUUUUGACUAAAGUGCGGGAUUGUUAGCUGCAUUGAGCCCCUAUGGGGAGAAAGUUGGUGUAUAAAUAAAGUUAAUAAUAAUAAUAAUAAUACUCAUUAUCGGAUUAUUUGUGUUUGUUAAAUGCUUUCCAGACCAUCCCCCACUGAGACAAUUGUGUGAGAGAACAGAGAAGUGAAGUCCUGUGAUAAGUCUCUGGCAAAGUUGCUCUUGUACUAUUGUAAUUGUGAUUUGACCACCUCCUCUGAUAAGCUGAGCUCCUUAAUAAAGUAUGCAUUUCAUUAAAGUAAAAAAAUGUUGAUAUAUUAAAGGGAAAGUGUAUCCAUUUUGUUGUGAAUAUCCUCACCUGGAGCAGGUCAUCUCUGCUCUUAAUCACAUCAUUGCAAUGGGAAACCCAAAAGACACAAAGCCAGUUGGUGGGCACACGUUGUACAUCACCACUGAACCCGUUCCUGUGUGCUCUUCCUUCUGCUCAUAGCUUUAGAUGGGCCUAGGUGGGCUGGCAUAUAUACUUGGGUGGGACCUUCACAGUUGUCACUCUGCUGUCUUUCUUUGGAGGAUGAGGACUCUUGUCUGUCUGGGGUUUUUGUUUAUUUGUUUGUUUGUUUGUUUUUGGAAGAAAAUAGUUUUUCCCUUUAAAGGCUGUCCAUGUGCUGGUCCUUCUACAUGCAUGUCACAGUUGCUCUGGCUUGGGAGGUUGUGGGUUUCUUUGUCCGAGUGCUUUUAUCUCUUUUGUUUUUCCAUAAUUUUUUACUUCUUAUAUUUUGCCUUCUCUGUUGUUUGUUCUUACUCCAUUGUUCCAAAAUCUCCUUUCUCCUUCUCUCUCCUUUCUUCUCAGCCUACCUUUCCUCUUCUCUCCUACAUGCUCCUCUUUUCAGCAUGGUGAAAACUUUUUUUGGGCAGACAACCCAUGCUGCCUUUGCAAACCUGGUGAAGGGAUGCCUUUCUCUGCUGUGUGCCCUGCUCUUUAUCCGCUUUCCUCUUGUCCCAUUGCGUUGCUGCUGCUGCUGCUGGAAGCUGGCUCGGUAGUGAAACUUGAGAGGGUGGGAAUGGAGCAUUCCUCUUGCUUUUUUUUCCUGCUGCAACUUUUGUUUGCAAAUUGCUGUAGAACAAGUCCCGCUAAAACAUUGCUGCUUCCUGGAUUUUUGAAGUGACUUGUUAAUCCUCUAGAAAGGGAAAGGCGGUGUCUCUCUACUUUUGAAAGUGUCAAAAUACGAGAUGCCUCUUUCCAUUCUGUUGGUAAAUGCUUCUGAGAUGAUGACAUUCUUAUCACUCCCUGGUGUUUCACUUUGCUGCAAGCGGCCUGGAGUCUUCCUUUGUCUCCCUUGACUGGUUAUUUCAAUGUUCAGCCUAGAAAGAAGAUGCCAAAAAGAAACUUCUUGGCUUCUACUUGUGCAAACGUGUAGAGCUGCACAAUUCAGUUGCCCUUUGUUGUCUGCAUUUAACAACACUGCAUCAAUUCCCCAGAAAGAAUGGACAAAUCCUGUAUCUCCUCUAGGUAUUUUCUCUUCCUUUGCCUGAAUGCCGUGGAAGGAAGGAAGAGGAGCGGUGAAGUGUCAUAUUGUACUUCUCAUGCUAUAGCUUUGUUAUCAUUUCUGCUUUGAAACUUGCUGGCUUGAAUUGGGAACAACGCCAAUUUGAAAAGCUCAAAAUUGGUGGGACCUCGGUUUAGAAUUUCUUUUUAGAAUCUUGGCCAUAAAACAUUCCUUUGUAUAGAAAACAUCCCCAAAUAUUUGAUCCCACGAGAAGCAAUGAACAAAGUUGUAAUUUUCAAAGAACUUGAGCCUUCUUUGCCAAAGAGUACUGGUGCAUCACCAUACUACGAAUCCCAUGUUUCCAUGUCAUUGAGCCAUGGCAGUUCAAGUAUCAACUGUAUUAAUUCUACAGUGUAAAUGUAUUCUGAGGUAUCGAUUGCUGUUAUUGUUGUUGCAUGCCUUCAAGUCUUUUCCAACUUAUGGCAACCCUAAGGGGAAUAUAUCAUGGGGCUUUCUGGAGAUGGGAGUGUGUCACUCACCCAAGGUUUUCCAGGGGUUUUUGAUAGCCUAGUAGGCAAUUAAACUCUGCAUUUCAGGGUCAUAGUCCAAUGCUCAAACCGCCAUACCAUACUGAUCUCAAGUCAAAAACUGAAAUGACACACUGUGUUUCUUUUUAUGGAGUGUCUAUCCAUUCAAAGUUGAUAUUUCUGGAAAAAAAAUCUCAUCAUUCAUUGUAAACUUUAUUCCUGGUAUCUUUUUAAAAAUAAUAAUAAUAAUAAUAAUAAUAAUAAUAAUAAUUAUUAUUAUUAUUAUUAUUAUUAUUAUUAUUUUAUUAUGACACAGCAAACAAGAUAGAUAUGCUGGAUUUCAUAUCACAAAAUCACAAGUCGAACACUUCCCAAGUGUCUAGGACUGUGUGAUGUAUUUUCGGAUGAUUUGUGCAGAUCCCAGUAGGGUGGCCUUUUGCAGUUGGCAGAUCGUAAUUUUGUCAAUGUCUAUUGUUUCCAAAUGCCGGCUGAGAUCUUUUGGCACGGCACCCAGUGUGCCCAUCACCACCAGGACCACAUGUACUGGUUUCUGCCAGAGUCUUUGAAGUUCAAUCUUGAGGUCCUGAUAGCGGCUGAGAUUAUUAUUAUUAUUAUUAUUAUUAUUAUUAUUAUUAUUAUUAUUUAUAUCCCUCCCUAUCUCCCCAAGGGGACUCUGGGUGGUUUACAACAAACAUUGGCAAACAUUUAAUAGAAGACAUUUUGUCUGAAAUUCAACAGAACCACAGAAGAUAGAGACUGAUGGCCAUUUAAACAGUAAUCAUUGAAGGGUCACCUUCUGAAUCUUCAUACUAGAAUCUGAGAAGUAUCCAAUUCAAUAAAUAUUUAUUCCUGCUUCAUAUAGUCAGCCCUUUGCAUUUGUGGGUUUGAAAUUUGUGGAUCUGAUUAUUCACAGAUUUGGACAAUAUGUUCUAUUUAGGAAUGUCUAGGUCCUCCAGUGCAACUCCAUUGUCCACCUCCAUGCUGAAGGACCUAGAGACGCCAAGGGAGAACAUUUCUCUAGAUAUUUACGGGUCCUGUAUUAGAAUUCUAUGGUCAACUACAGGUUCUGUCAUGUAAAAAUGUGCUUUUUAUUUGCAGUUUUGCCACUUCCAUUGAGGUCUUGUAUCCCUGACCCAAGCAAAUGUGGAAGGCUGACUGCAAUUCUGUGUUUUCCCACACUUUUAAAAGAAGGCCAGAAAACAUGCUUCAAUCAGACAGUAGAAGGGCACCAGCAAGGUCCAUGGAAGCCAUUAGCUAUGGCCACAAAGCUAACCUCUGAUACAGGAGGUGCUGUUAUCAUUAAUAUUUUGAAAGGAGGUUGGAUUAAAGUGCCCAUCCCUUUGCCAUUGACUUUUCUAUCUUAUGUUUACGGAAGUUGCUGUCUUAUCACUAUCUCGGACGCCAAAGUCCUCAGUAUAUUCAUAUAGCAAAUGCAGUCACCUAAACCACUGAGCUGUGCUUUUCUAAAAGUUGUUUUAAAUAUUUUGAUGGCCUAGAUACAUCCUUGUACUGUACUGAAUGCAGGAAGGUUGCUGGUCGUCUGUGACUUUCAAGACUACUUGGAAGAAUUCCCCUCCCUUUGAUCUGUGUGCUGUGUUGUGUGCAUCUCUAAUGGAUUUAUAGAACUUGCCAGAGUCAACCCUUGGAAGCAUAUGAAGGAUGUGCAUGUAUACUGGAAAUGUUUUAGACUGUAAAGGUCUUCAUUACAUCUGUCAACCCUACCAUCUUUCUACCUCAAUCUUCUCUUUUUGUGCUAUCUGGCCAGGGUGCGUCAUUUGCAGCUAGAUCUCAUAAUCUGUCCCAUCACUGAACACCUGUAUGUGCCUUUUGGGUUUUUUCUAUCCCCUUUCCUUCCAACAAGUGCCUUAUCAAGCCUUAGCUGUUGCCACUUUAAUUAUUCCUUUAUUUUUUAAACAUUUGCAGAUCAUUUUAAGCCAAGAGUCUUGGUACCUAUUUUUUCCAGCAUGAUUCGAUUAUGUUCAGGAGUUUGAUUCUGUUCACAGGAAUGGCCAAGGUUUGGAGUCCUAAUGUCUUUCUAUAACCUUUGCCUGGUUCGACCUACACAGUAUUGAUUAUGGGGCAAAAACAUUAAAUUCCCUAGAGAAAGAAAUGGCCGGGUUGGGACUGGGGCUGGGGAGAUAACAUUUAAUAUAGUUCCCAAGAGGUGAGAAACUGGUUUCACCUCCAUCACCAGUAUAUGGGAUAGACCCAGCUAUUCCACCAUUUUAGGGCCUCCUCAUCUUUUCUUUUUCCAUGACCAGCCUGAUGGAGGUUGAAUGCUCUCUUUCCCACUAGAGCGACCUCCCUUGAGACAGAAUAUAGCAGGGGCCCACUGAUGGCGCUUGUCUGCUUUGUCUUUCUAGAAAACGUCCAUCUCCAACCCGGAGCGCUGCUGCACCUGAGAGGCUCGAAGCUCUGAAAUACCAGCGGAUAAAGAAGCCCAAAAAGUCAUCCAAGGGCUCCUCGAAAUCCAAAAAACAAAUCAAUGGUUCAGCCUCCCAGGUUCAGCAAC